GCCAGCGUCAUUGGGGAGUAGCCGAUUUCUGACGCUUCGUCAGAAAUGCAUCUGUCAACAUACUCGUUUAGAUAUAAACGUGGCAGGUGCGGCCCGCAGCGGGAAGGCGAGACCAUAGACACGUGCCCAUGUAAGGUUGGGGAUGGCGCACGUGUAUAUGGAUGUCCCGGCCGGG
This 175-nucleotide small RNA is filed under the name Winslowiella iniecta. Its description in RNAcentral is "Erwinia iniecta Manganese sequence". It matches the Rfam family "Manganese Mn2+ riboswitch aptamer (yybP-ykoY)". Rfam says of the family: This RNA was originally discovered in E. coli during a large scale screen and was named SraF. The family was later found to exist upstream of related families of protein genes in many bacteria, including the the yybP and ykoK genes in B. subtilis. The specific functions of these proteins are unknown, but this structured RNA element may be involved in their genetic regulation as a riboswitch. Lineage: Bacteria; Pseudomonadati; Pseudomonadota; Gammaproteobacteria; Enterobacterales; Erwiniaceae. The record is from Rfam by way of RNAcentral.